GACGAACGCUGGCGGCGUGCUUAACACAUGCAAGUCGAACGAGACGAUUGAAAGCUUGCUUUCGAAAGUCGAGUGGCAAACGGGUGAGUAACGCGUAGACAACCUGCCUUUGAGAUGGGGACAACAGUUCGAAAGGACUGCUAAUACCGAAUGUUGUAUAUUUUCCACAUGGAAGAUAUAUUAAAGAUGGCCUCUAUUUAUAAGCUAUCGCUCAAAGAUGGGUCUGCGUCUGAUUAGCUGGUUGGUGGGGUAACGGCCUACCAAGGCGACGAGCAGUAGCCGGUAUGAGAGGAUGAACGGCCACAUGGGGACUGAGAAACGGCCCAGACUCCUACGGGAAGCAGCAGUGGGGAAUCUUCCACAAUGGACGAAAGUCUGAUGGAGCAACGCCGCGUGAGUGAAGAAGGGUUUCGGCUCGUAAAGCUCUGUUGUCGGGGACGAAUGUGCAGUAUUUGAAUAAAGUACUGCAAUGACGGUACCUGACGAGGAAGCCACGGCUAACUACGUGCCAGCAGCCGCAGUAA
This 524-nucleotide ribosomal RNA is filed under the name uncultured bacterium. Its description in RNAcentral is "partial 16S ribosomal RNA". It matches the Rfam family "Bacterial small subunit ribosomal RNA", at positions 28 to 523 of the family's 1533-position model. The record is from RNAcentral.